GCAAUCACAUUAAACCCGUUAUCCUUUCACAUUCAUAGCAAGAUAAUUUGUUAGUGACUACGAUCUUAUUAUUAUUUUAUUAUUUUUUUCUUUUUCUCAUAGUUUGGCUCGAAUAACAACUAAAGAUGGUUGCACUGUUGGGUUAAAUGACCGGGUGAGGGUCACCUAACUUAGAAGGAACAAUACUUUUUAUUAAUUUGGUCA
RNAcentral lists this long non-coding RNA (204 nucleotides) under Lathyrus oleraceus (garden pea). RNAcentral describes it as "Pisum sativum (pea) long non-coding RNA (PSAT_LNC025222)". Lineage: Eukaryota; Viridiplantae; Streptophyta; Magnoliopsida; Fabales; Fabaceae. The record is from RNAcentral.